GACGUAGGGUGCAAGCGUUGUCCGGAAUCACUGGGCGUAAAGAGCUCGUAGGCUGGGUCUUGCGUCGUAGAGUAAAUAUAUCUGCUUAACGGAUAUCUCUUCUGCGAUACGGGGACUCUUGAGGACAGGAGAGGAAAGCGGAAUUCCGAGUGUAGCGGUGAAAUGCGUAGAUAUUCGGAGGAACACCGGUGGCGAAGGCGGCUUUCUGGCCUGAUUCUGACGCUGAGGAGCGAAAGCCAGGGUAGCGAACGGG
Molecule: ribosomal RNA, 253 nt
Filed under: uncultured prokaryote
Description: partial 16S ribosomal RNA
Rfam family: Bacterial small subunit ribosomal RNA
Source: RNAcentral